RNAcentral lists this ribosomal RNA (292 nucleotides) under uncultured bacterium. RNAcentral's name for it is "partial 16S ribosomal RNA". It matches the Rfam family "Archaeal small subunit ribosomal RNA", at positions 455 to 747 of the family's 1478-position model. The record is from RNAcentral.
GUGCAGCAGCCGCGGUAAUACCGGCAGCCCGAGUGAUGGCCACUCUUAUUGGGCCUAAAGCGUCCGUAGCUGGGUCUGAAAGUCCAUCGGGAAAUCCACUCGCUCAACGAGUGGCCGUCCGGUGGAAACUCCACACCUUGGGACCGGAAGGCUCGAAGGGUACGGCCGGGGUAGGAGUGAAAUCCUGUAAUCCCGUCCGGACCACCGAUGGCGAAAGCACUUCGAGAAAACGGAUCCGACAGUGAGGGACGAAAGCCAGGGUCUCCAACCGGAUUAGAUACCCCGGUAGUCC